This 30-nucleotide non-coding RNA is filed under the name Mus musculus (house mouse). RNAcentral also lists the same sequence under 1 other name. Lineage: Eukaryota; Metazoa; Chordata; Mammalia; Rodentia; Muridae. The record is from RNAcentral.
UCCUCUUGAGAAAGUACUUUAUUAAGGCAA